UGACCAUCCAUCCACCCCACUGACCAUCCAUCCAUCCCACUAACCGUCCAUACACCCCACUGACCAUCCAUACACCCCACUGACCAUCCAUCCAUCCCACUGACCAUCCAUACACCCCGCUGACCAUCCAUACACCCCACUGACCAUCCAUACACCCCACUGACCAUCCAUCCAUCCCACUGACCAUCCAUACACCCCACUGACCAUCCAUCCAUCCCACUGACCAUCCAUACACCCCGCUGACCAUCCAUACACCCCACUGACCAUCCAUACACCCCACUGACCAUCCAUCCAUCCCACUGACCAUCCAUACAACCUACUCAGCAUCCACAGUAGCACACUGGGCAGGUCAGCAGGGGACAGUUCCUGCCUUCCCCCAGGUAGCCUCACUCCAUCGAGCACCGGGCUGCCAUUUGAGAGCUUCCAGAGGUGGGCAAGGAGGAGGCACACAAGGUGUGGGUGGGACGCAGCCCCUGCACGACCCAUUAUGGGUGCUGUCACACCUGUGAUCUGACGACAGCAUCAGGCAUGGUGGCCAUCCAAGUAGGAUGGAGGCCACGGCUUUCCCUGGGCUAACUGAUCCAGCUCUCUCCAUGUCUGCCCAUCAGUUUGCCUCCUCCCUGCCACCCAAGGGACCCGCUGUCCCCUCCUCCACGUUCACUCCACCACUCCUUGCAGAUAACAGGGCCAGCCACAGCGCUGGGACACCUGG
Molecule: long non-coding RNA, 712 nt
Filed under: Gallus gallus (chicken)
Lineage: Eukaryota; Metazoa; Chordata; Aves; Galliformes; Phasianidae
Description: long non-coding RNA NONGGAT001816
Source: RNAcentral